GAAAAAGAAUGCCUAUUAGUGUUCAAGAUAAUAGUACUUCUCAGGCUUUCAAUUUGGGAGUGCACAGAUAACUAGAAUACUGAAGUUAGAUGAUUUCCACCUGGCUUUCUUUCUUUCUGGCUUCCAUUUUAGUCUUCUCUACAUGGCAGCAAAGAUGAUCAGCGGUGUGUGGCUAAUGUUCUACAAGUUUUGAAGUCUUGAUGGAAAGUCACAUGCUGACUUAACUUUGAUUGACUCACAUUGGGUCACCGGCUCAUCCCUGGAGCCAGGUGGUGAGAUUACCUCCACCCAAUCCACUUGGACUGAAGAAGAAUAUCUGCACAGUACUCAUGGAAUUCAUUAUCCAGACAUGCACUAGCUUGUGGACUGAAUCAUCUCUGUGGAUUGACCUUGGGCUCAUCAUUGCUUUAACUGCAGGGCAUUUGAUGAUGCAAAUGGCCAGCUCAUCACUGAAAUACUGGAGCAUCUGUCAAUGAUUUGCCCAAGAAACCCGGACUCAUGUGCCAUGAUUUACUCUCCUAUCACAAACAACAGAAUUACUGGACUUUGAAAGCUGACAUGGGGGAAGGAGGAAAAAAAGGAAAUGCUUAUACCUUCUCAUUUUGACAUGGCUCCUUCAGAAAUCUGAUACUAAAUAUCUUCCUGCAUCUGGAGGAGUGAAGAAAGAGAACAUACAGGCAUUAUGUACAUAAUGUUGAAAUAAAACCCUCUAUUGUCCACCAAGACAAUAGAACUAGUCUAUAAUAAUGCAGUAGAAGUAGAGCAUAAACUACACACGCCAGCAAUGCAAUCUUUGUUCCAGUGUAAUCUUCCAUAUCAACUAUUGACAAGCCAAGAGGCAGCGGUGAGAAUACCCGGCACUUGACUUCCUGCUCCCGUGAAUCAUUGCUGGAGAGGCGUCUUUGAUCCCUUGCAGAGCACCGUGUGUGCAAAAGAUCAAGCAGGAUGUAAUUUGAAGCUGGGGAAACCAACUAAACUCUAUGGACUGAGAAAUAAACUGAUACGAUUGACCUCCAACAUAGGAAUUCAGAAAUCUCCCUGCCUCUUUCUUUGCCACUAAGAAAACAGACAUUGGUUCCCCAAGCCCCUGAUUAAGAAAAAGCUGGAAGAACAUUCAGAAGACUUUUCAAGACCGUGAAUGCCCUUGCCAAAGCCCAGUGGGAAAGUCUCUGGAGAAACAGAGUGACAUUGCCAGUGGAACAGUGAUUUCCUACAUUGCUGCAUUCUCAUCUUCCCUCGUUCAUUCAUUCAGCAAAUAAAAAUUGAAUGGCUUCUAAACACCAGGACUUUUUAGGCUAUUCUCGCUGUCCUGGAUAUGGGAAAGAGACACUUUGCUGAUGUAGUAUGCUAAUCACACACACGGGAAGAAAAUGAAAAAAAAAUCAUAGAAAUGAAUUCAUGAUCAAUGUGUUGGAGCAAUGGAGUUCUCAUUUCAAGAGAGAAGAUUCACUAUGAUCUCGAUGAAGGAAUUAUCCAGGACUGAGAACUCUGAAGUGACACCAUCUUAAACUUGUUCCAUUGCAAUGCAAACUCUUUAUUCAUGUACUUUGGCAACAAAUACACAUUUCUUGAGAACUUAGAAGAGAUAAGAAUGAAGGUAGUAAGGAUAAAGGACGGUGUCUGCGGUAAGUCUACAGCCAAAUCUGCAAUGUUAAUCCAUUUUUCUGACCCACUCUUCAGUCCCCUUACACAUAAGAAGACUGUUUUAAGGAUUAAAUAGAGUUCCAUGUAACGCAUGUGAACAAAAAUAUUGAGAA
Talpa occidentalis (Iberian mole) is the source of this 1757-nucleotide long non-coding RNA. RefSeq lists it as uncharacterized. NCBI's taxonomy places the organism in Eukaryota, Metazoa, Chordata, Mammalia, Eulipotyphla, Talpidae. The transcript is spliced from 10 exons. The record is from RefSeq and is a predicted model, not a curated record.